Non-coding RNA from Triticum aestivum (bread wheat), 115 nucleotides. NCBI's taxonomy places the organism in Eukaryota, Viridiplantae, Streptophyta, Magnoliopsida, Poales, Poaceae. The record is from Rfam.
GAAGUACUCCCUCCGUUCCAAAUUACUUGUCGCACGUAUGGAUGUAUCUAGAGGUAUUUUAGUUCUACAUACAUUCACUUCAGCGUCGAGUAAUUUGGAACGGAGGGAGUAGUUC